This 343-nucleotide ribosomal RNA is filed under the name Geminicoccus sp. RNAcentral's name for it is "bacterial SSU rRNA". It matches the Rfam family "Bacterial small subunit ribosomal RNA", at positions 1 to 364 of the family's 1533-position model. The record is from RNAcentral. Lineage: Bacteria; Pseudomonadati; Pseudomonadota; Alphaproteobacteria; Geminicoccales; Geminicoccaceae.
UUUGGAUUGAACUUGAGAGUUUGAUCCUGGCUCAGAACGAACGCUGGCGGCAGGCCUAACACAUGCAAGUCGAGCGCCCUGCUUGCAGGGAGCGGCGGACGGGUGAGUAACGCGUGGGAACGUGCCCUUCAGUUCAGAAUAGCCACUGGAAACGGUGAGUAAUACUGAAUACGCCCUUAGGGGGAAAGAUUUAUCGCUGAAGGAUCGGCCCGCGUUGGAUUAGCUUGUUGGUGGGGUAAUGGCCUACCAAGGCGACGAUCUAUAGCUGGUUUGAGAGGAUGAUCAGCCACACUGGGACUGAGACACGGCCCAGACUCCUACGGGAGGCAGCAGUGGGGAAUAU